RNAcentral lists this ribosomal RNA (450 nucleotides) under uncultured bacterium. Its description in RNAcentral is "partial 16S ribosomal RNA". It matches the Rfam family "Bacterial small subunit ribosomal RNA", at positions 354 to 796 of the family's 1533-position model. The record is from RNAcentral.
GUGGGGAAUUUUGGACAAUGGGCGCAAGCCUGAUCCAGCCAUUCCGCGUGCAGGAUGAAGGCCUUCGGGUUGUAAACUGCUUUUGUACGGAACGAAAAGCCUCUGGUUAAUACCCGGGGGUCAUGACGGUACCGUAAGAAUAGGCACCGGCUAACUACGUGCCAGCAGCCGCGGUAAUACGUAGGGUGCGAGCGUUAAUCGGAAUUACUGGGCGUAAAGCGUGCGCAGGCGGUGAUGUAAGACAGUUGUGAAAUCCCCGGGCUCAACCUGGGAACUGCAUCUGUGACUGCAUUGCUGGAGUGCGGCAGAGGGGGAUGGAAUUCCGCGUGUAGCAGUGAAAUGCGUAGAUAUGCGGAGGAACACCGAUGGCGAAGGCAAUCCCCUGGGCCUGCACUGACGCUCAUGCACGAAAGCGUGGGGAGCAAACAGGAUUAGAUACCCCAGUAGUCC